ACAGAGGAAAUAACGUGCAGUUUUAAAGGGCAGUGAUCAAGGCAGCAAUCACGUUCUAGCUGAGGAAACUUCCGGAUAUUCAGGGAGCAAGCUGUAUUUUUGCAGCGUUUGUUCUGGGAGGAUUGCAGCUAUACCACCGAGAGACCGAAGCAAAUUUUCUUAAUGUUUGAUUUCACUUUCCUGAUGCUCAAGAGGGUGUCUAGGAAGCGAGGUACCGUUCAGCAGUGCUGUGCUGCCAGAAAUGCUCGCUGAGCCCGUGCGAGGAGGAAAUCUCACCGGAACUGCUGGCGUUACCCCAGAAAGACCCUCUGCAGACUGACUCCACGUCCUCAGAGCUGAUCUCAUCGGGGCCUACCAAACACAUUAACGACGUCGAAAGUAGCCUACUUUAAGAGGAAAUAUGCAGAAGAAGAACAUUUACAUCAAGAUUGCCAUGAGUAUUGUCCAAAACACCUGAUACUACCCGAGGACCGGACUUGUAUUCUAAAACUUUCUCUCCAGAAACUCCGAUUCCUGGAAGACCCUGAAGCCUACCUCCGUAGGUCUGUAUUAAUUAACAAUCUGUUGAGGAAGAUUCACCUAGAGACAGAGAGGGAGAGCUAUGAAUACUUUAAGGAGGCUCCGUGUUAUAGGACUGCUUACUCUGACGCACGAAAACGGCUGAAGUUUAUGGUACACGAGUGCUGUUCCCAGUCGCUCUAUUAUGAAGAGCUGCAUUCGUAUCGUAUCGUGCCUUAUUCUGCAGAGAACGCCGUUUACGGAAUGGGCUACACAAGCAGCCACUUGGAGCAAAAUUCUCAAUUGCUUAUUUAUAAAAUGAAUUAAAGUAGCUGUUAGACCC
Molecule: long non-coding RNA, 841 nt
Organism: Cygnus atratus (black swan)
Lineage: Eukaryota; Metazoa; Chordata; Aves; Anseriformes; Anatidae
Exons: 4
Source: RefSeq, a predicted model, not a curated record